GACGAACGCUGGCGGCGUGCCUAAUACAUGCAAGUAGAACGCUGAAGGAGGAGCUUGCUUCUCUGGAUGAGUUGCGAACGGGUGAGUAACGCGUAGGUAACCUGCCUGGUAGCGGGGGAUAACUAUUGGAAACGAUAGCUAAUACCGCAUAAUAGUAGAUGUUGCAUGACAUUUGCUUAAAAGGUGCAAUUGCAUCACUACCAGAUGGACCUGCGUUGUAUUAGCUAGUUGGUGGGGUAACGGCUCACCAAGGCGACGAUACAUAGCCGACCUGGGAGGGGGGUCGGCCACACUGGGACUGGGACACGGCCCAGACCCCUACGGGAGGGAGGAGGAGGGAAUCUUCGGCAAUGGACGGAAGUCUGACCGGGCAACGCCGGGGGAGUGAAGAAGGUUUUCGGAUCGUAAAGCUCCGUUGUAAGGGAAGAAAGAGUGUGGGAGGGGAAAGUUCACACUGUGACGGUAUCUUACCAGAAAGGGACGGCUAACUACGUG
RNAcentral lists this ribosomal RNA (495 nucleotides) under uncultured bacterium. RNAcentral's name for it is "partial 16S ribosomal RNA". It matches the Rfam family "Bacterial small subunit ribosomal RNA", at positions 28 to 507 of the family's 1533-position model. The record is from RNAcentral.